Molecule: ribosomal RNA, 482 nt
Filed under: uncultured Acidovorax sp.
Lineage: Bacteria; Pseudomonadati; Pseudomonadota; Betaproteobacteria; Burkholderiales; Comamonadaceae
Description: bacterial SSU rRNA
Rfam family: Bacterial small subunit ribosomal RNA
Source: RNAcentral
AAACUUAAAUGAAUUGACGGGGCCCGCACAAGCGGUGGAGCAUGUGGUUUAAUUCGAUGCAACGCGAAGAACCUUACCAGGUCUUGACAUCCCACGAAUUCAUCUGAAAGGAUGGAGUGCCUUCGGGAGCGUGGAGACAGGUGGUGCAUGGUUGUCGUCAGCUCGUGUCGUGAGAUGUUGGGUUAAGUCCCGCAACGAGCGCAACCCUUGCCAUUAGUUGCUACAUUUAGUUGGGCACUCUAAUGGGACUGCCGGUGACAAACCGGAGGAAGGUGGGGAUGACGUCAAGUCCUCAUGGCCCUUAUAGGUGGGGCUACACACGUCAUACAAUGGCCGGUACAAAGGGUAGCCAACCCGCGAGGGGGAGCCAAUCCCAUAAAGCCGGUCGUAGUCCGGAUCGCAGUCUGCAACUCGACUGCGUGAAGUCGGAAUCGCUAGUAAUCGCGGAUCAGCAUGUCGCGGUGAAUACGUUCCCGGGUCUU